This 1072-nucleotide unclassified non-coding RNA is filed under the name Hevea brasiliensis (rubber tree). Lineage: Eukaryota; Viridiplantae; Streptophyta; Magnoliopsida; Malpighiales; Euphorbiaceae. The record is from RNAcentral.
GUUGUCUGAUUCCAAGGUUGAAGAUGCAUCCUUCAGUGGGUUAGGGAUUCUGAAUUUUGUUAAGGACAAAUUGACUGUUGAUGGAACUGGAAACCUUUUGGCUGCAGAAGAAGGGCAGCCAGGAAAAGAUGCAUGUGAAUGCUCUGAAAGAUGAUAAGCAUGUUCAGAAAGUGAUUUCUGCUAGGGACCAAUCAUCCAAGGUAUAAACUUGUUUUACUUGUGGUAAAUUUGCGCAAGUUAAGAUGGCAAUAGAAGUUGAAAUAUGUGUUUAAGCUGAGGUUAAGCUGAUGUACUUUUCUAAGACCAUUCUGAGUAUGGCAUCAAAUGGAAUAAAAAAGCAUAAAUGUUGAUGGAGAAAUAAAGGUGCAAAAUUCCUAGUUGUCAAAUGAGAUUUGAAGGGAAAAUAAUGCUGAUGCUCUUUUUGCGCUUAUGUUUGUUUACUAGAUGAGACAUGAGAGUGAAAUAUUACAAAAUCAAGAAAAUGUUUCCAUGAAGGAGGCGAUGGCAAGGAUUUCAGAAUUACAGAAACUUGAAAAAGAGUAUGAGGUUUUAAAGGCUGCAGCAGAAAGGGCAUUUGAUGACCAACAUCCUAUUGACUCUUACCUUGACCAGCUUAGCAAGCAACUAGAUUCCAAAAGGAUAAUAUUGUGGAAUUGGAGACCAAGUCCAAGUGGGACGCUUUCAGAAAGCCUCUGGAGGAGAAAAAGAGAAGCUUUCGGACUUUCUCUAUGCAAACAUACCACAGGCUCGAGAGAAGCUAAAAAAGUUGGAGGGAAGUUGAGCUGGAAAAGCAGCCUGUCUUAUCUGAAAUUAGGAGGCAGUAUGUUGUUGAAACCAUGACGAAGGCAUUCUAUAAAUAUUUUUGCACAUUCUUUAAGAUAUCUAUUGUUAUUCUGUAGGGAGGAGGAACAUUCAAAACUUUCUGUGGAUCUUGAGAAGCUAUCUAAUCUGCCAACUAGAACAUCCUAUAUAGAGCAUAUAAAGUAGAUCACCAAAAACAGUCAAGAAAAGGACGCUGACAUAGAGCAGAUUUUAAAAGAAACCAGAAAGCUUCAGUUAGAAAGCAACUCUA